GAUGAACGCUGGCGGCGUGCUUAACACAUGCAAGUCGAACGAGAAGUGAAGACGGAAACCUUCGGGCGGAAGGCUUUAUUUCUAGUGGCGGACGGGUUAGUAACGCGUGGGUAUCCUGCCUCAUACAGGUGGAUAACAGUUUGAAACGACUGUUAAUACCGCAUAAUACCACAGCACCGCAUGGUUCGGUGGUAAAAACUCCGGUGGUAUGAGAUGGACCCGCGUUCGAUUAGCCAGUUGGCGGGGUAACGGCCCACCAAAGCGACGAUCGAGAGACGAGAAGAGAGGAGGACAGGCGACAUUGGGAAUGAGAAACGGCCCAAACUACUACGGGAGGCAGCAGUGGGGAAUAUUGCAAAAUGGGGGAAAACCUGAUGAAGCGACGCGGCGUGAGUGAAGAAGUAUGUCGGUAUGUAAAGCGAUAUAAGCAGGGAAGAAAAUGACGGUACCUGAGUAAGAAGCCCCGGCUAACUACGUG
Molecule: ribosomal RNA, 478 nt
Filed under: uncultured bacterium
Lineage: Bacteria
Description: partial 16S ribosomal RNA
Rfam family: Bacterial small subunit ribosomal RNA
Source: RNAcentral